This 453-nucleotide ribosomal RNA is filed under the name Triticum aestivum (bread wheat). RNAcentral describes it as "partial small subunit ribosomal RNA". The record is from RNAcentral. Lineage: Eukaryota; Viridiplantae; Streptophyta; Magnoliopsida; Poales; Poaceae.
AUGCUAAAUUAUGAUCUUGCAAAAGCUUUUGAUCGUACCGAAUGGAAAUUCAUAGUUUCUGCUCUCUCUGGUAAAGGUCUGCAUGGUCAUUUCAUCAACUUAAUAUAUGCAUGCAUCUCCACACAUGUUUUCUCUAUCGUCAUUAAUGGUCAAACCUUUCAGAAAAUUAAAAGUCAACGAUGUAUUAGACAAGGCCGCCCUCUUUCUCCGUAUCUUUUUGUGUUGCCUAUUAACGAUCUUUCUCUUGCUCUCGAUGAUGCUAUGGCUAAUAAUCUUGAGAGUACCAUGCUUGGUCCAAAUUGCCCUCUUGUGCAUUAAUUACUGUUUGCAGAUGAUUUACCCGUAUGUGGAAAGGCAUCUAUGAAGGAAGCCCAAGUGAUACGCCGGGUUCCGCCAUUUUUGUCUUGCUUCAGGUCAAAUCCCAAAUUGGUCAAAAUCUGCUAUUCUGUAUAG